Podarcis lilfordi (Lilford's wall lizard) is the source of this 80-nucleotide non-coding RNA. The record is from the annotation of a GenBank genome assembly. NCBI's taxonomy places the organism in Eukaryota, Metazoa, Chordata, Lepidosauria, Squamata, Lacertidae.
GCAGGACAUAACUCAGACAGAAGAGCAUAGGACUCUGAAUCUUAGGGUUGUGGGUUCAAAUCCCACAUGGGGGGGGAGCU